CUAAGCAUCACGCCGAGCUCCAUCCAGUAGGCGAGGGAUUCCGACCGCGGAUGGAGGCGGGGGACCCACCAGAUCCACCGACCGGAUCGGGGCCGCUUGCGGCUCCUUGGGGUGAAGCCGACGUCGUUCACCGUUGUACGACGCUGGCCGGGUGACCUCUCUGGAUGUGAUCCAACCCGAACCCGACAGCUGACCUCGUAGGCGUGUACCGAGAGGAAUU
Molecule: small RNA, 220 nt
Filed under: Mycobacterium angelicum
Lineage: Bacteria; Bacillati; Actinomycetota; Actinomycetes; Mycobacteriales; Mycobacteriaceae
Description: c-di-AMP sequence
Rfam family: c-di-AMP riboswitch aptamer (ydaO/yuaA leader)
About the family: This family represents a conserved RNA structure found upstream of the ydaO and yuaA genes in Bacillus subtilis and related genes in other bacteria. The ydaO/yuaA element is thought to act as a genetic "off" switch for the ydaO and yuaA genes in its native state. It is believed that the element may be triggered during osmotic shock leading to activation of ydaO, a predicted amino acid transporter gene, and members of the yuaA-yubG operon which code for KtrA and KtrB K+ transporters.
Source: RNAcentral